UACAGGGGGUGCUAGCGUUGUUCGGAAUUACUGGGCGUAAAGGGCGCGUAGGCGGCCAUGUAAGUCAGGAGUGAAAUCCCGGAGCUUAACUUCGGAAUUGCUUUUGAAACUACAUGGCUAGAGUGAGUUAGAGGAUGGCGGAAUUCCUAGUGUAGUGGUGAAAUACGUAGAUAUUAGGAAGAACACCCGUGGCGAAGGCGGCUCUCUGGUACGUGACUGACGCUGAGACGCGAAAGCGUGGGGAGCGAACAGG
This 253-nucleotide ribosomal RNA is filed under the name uncultured bacterium. RNAcentral's name for it is "partial 16S ribosomal RNA". It matches the Rfam family "Bacterial small subunit ribosomal RNA", at positions 524 to 776 of the family's 1533-position model. The record is from RNAcentral.